Molecule: ribosomal RNA, 442 nt
Filed under: fungal sp.
Lineage: Eukaryota; Fungi
Description: SSU rRNA
Rfam family: Eukaryotic small subunit ribosomal RNA
Source: RNAcentral
UUNGGAAUUCGGAACUAAUAGUUGGUCGGUCGUCGUCGUCGGUACUACUGUUUAUUGGUUUCUCCUUUCUGAAGAACCAUGAUGUCAUUUAUUUGGUGUCGUGGGGAAUCAGGACUGUUACUUUAGAAAAAUUAGAGUGUUUAAAGCAGGCUCACGCUUGAAUACAUUAGCAUGGAAUAAUGAAAUAGGACGUUUGAUUCUAUUUUGUUGGUUUCUAGGAUCGACGUAAUGAUUAAUAGGGAUAGUUGGGGGCAUUAGUAUUCAAUUGUCAGAGGUGAAAUUCUUGGAUUUAUUGAAGACUAACUACUGCGAAAGCAUUUGCCAAGGAUGUUUUCAUUAAUCAAGAACGAAAGUUAGGGGAUCGAAGACGAUCAGAUACCGUCGUAGUCUUAACCAUAACUAUGCCGACUAGGGAUCGGAUGAUGUUAAUUUUUAAUGACUC